GCGAGUCUUCGAGCAAAAACUUUAGCGAAGGAGGGCUUGCUGGGGACCGACGGAGCGGCGGCUCCUCGGGGAGAGGGUAGCUCUCACUCCCUGUCCACCGUGUCCGGCCUACCGGCCGCCGGCUCUCAAACGAGACCCUCCCCUGACCAUCGCCACCACUGCCAACCCCUAAAUUAAAAGUAACAGCCCGCCGCCUGGUCGCCAACUUCUUGCCGUCGCGAGGUUAAGGAUGUCACAGGCUGAGCACCCACUUCCUGCAACAAUAACUUGCUGUUCUUUUUCUUUACUACCUCUCUCUCUCCCUCCCCCCGUGGGGCUGCUGUCAACUCUCUGUCCUCUCCUCCCCUCCCCCCAACAAUCACACACUCCUUUCACCGGCCCCGUCUCCAGGAAGUUUCCGGCUUAACGACAAGUGUACCGCCGACCAACGGAUCGCCUCCCGCUUGGGGUCCUCCGAGCGCAGCGCCGCCCCUCAGGCGAGGAGGUCUCACGACAGUUGUCAGUCUGCUGAGGCGGGAGUCGGAUUUGAUUGUGGUUGCUAACCGACGCACCAGAGAGAAACGCCAGCAGGAAGGAGACGCCUAAAGUUUCCAGUCAGUUACUCCAUCGCAUGAACUGAAUGUGCGACCAUUGCCUGUUUUGCUGCUUCAGCAUGAGAAAUGAAAAUCAAAGUUUAACUUGGCUCCACACUCGACAUCCCAGGGGGACUGGACAGAAUUGGUGCAACAUUCAACUCGCACCUGGAUAGCA
This is a long non-coding RNA of Hemiscyllium ocellatum (epaulette shark), 750 nucleotides long. RefSeq lists it as uncharacterized. The transcript is spliced from 3 exons. The record is from RefSeq and is a predicted model, not a curated record. Lineage: Eukaryota; Metazoa; Chordata; Chondrichthyes; Orectolobiformes; Hemiscylliidae.